Molecule: long non-coding RNA, 1007 nt
Organism: Portunus trituberculatus (swimming crab)
Lineage: Eukaryota; Metazoa; Arthropoda; Malacostraca; Decapoda; Portunidae
Exons: 2
Source: RefSeq, a predicted model, not a curated record
GACAGUUCUGCGCGAUAGGCAGGACCAACUUGUGAAUUAAACCAGCUGGCGAACAAUGAAAACUACACAGAUAGCGAUUGGUGCCAUUGCCCAAAAGCCCGCCGAGUUAAAUCACUGAGCUGGUGCCCGGUAGCUGGAGUUUCUACCCUGCCAGACGCAAGAUAAUGGGCCGUACUUAUAAAAGGUGCCUAGGACGAAAACUUUGCCUAAGACGCAUAUUUUGCCUAGGAAACGUUAGGACCUACUUAUAAAAGCUUUUGCGUCCUAGGAAUUUGCCUAACUCGAGAAAUUCCUAUGUCAAGUAUGGAGGUGGCCUAGCGGUGUCAGGUAGCGCCUAGGACAGAAAAACAUGGCGCCGUAGAAGACCGCAGACGUCACCUGAAGAUUUUUCGUCCUCGGAAAGACGUGCUGUGUGAUUAUAACGACGAAAAACUCGUCAAGAUGAAUUGCUUGGAUCGUGCACGGGUCAUAUUUGUGACAGACAUGUUACGAGACGCCCUUCAAAGUCCGACACAGAGGAACACCUGAGAUGAAGGUGGUGAUUUUACUAAGACAGGUGAUGGAAGUCCUCAAAUGUCAUCUUGGCAAGAUCCUGCAAUGAUGCAGAGGAUGGGUGCACUGGAAGUUAUUGUCCCUCUGCAGCAGUUCGAUAUUCUGGCUUUCCUGCCAUAGCUUGCUGUACCAACUGUGGGAGAGAGGAGCAUACUGAUUUUUUUUUUUAUAUACUUAGGAGAGCAUAUUUUUGUUAUAAUAUGCAGGUUUGUGUUAUUUCAACCAUACACUUAUUAAUGAUUGACUGUAAUAUAACCAUACAAGGACUAAAUUAACCAAAACACAGGAACUAGGUGUAUGUCCCUAGUAAAACUUGGUAUCACGUUUACAAAUCUGCACUUCCAAGACUAGUCUGUUACUGCAUGUGUAUACAAUUAUUUUAUAUAUCUAAUUUGUAUUUAAGUGAAAUCAUUUGGUCCAAUAUGAAAAUAAAAUCUGUAAAGAAAUAAACAAGA